CAUUAUGCCACUUUUCAUCAAGAUCUAAAUUCCUGUGCACAGCUCCAAUUAUCUGGACCAAAGUAUCAUAUGGUUUUCUUACAGGCAACCAGUUUGUUUACUAUAUACAAGUUUUCUUAGCAAACCCACAGCCAGCAUGCAAAUUAGCAAGUGGCGUUUUGUAUGGAUCUAACCUUUGAUGUCGUCUUUUUGGUGAUAACAAAAAGUUUCAUUUUCCUGCAUUAGAUAUGAAUAACACUUCUUAACAUCAGUGCUGUGGAGUUGGAAAGCUACAACAACAAAACACACAAACUACUUAACAGGCUGGACACCUAAUUUUAGAAAUAAGACUUGACAUGCAGAAUAACUACUGCUAGCACAUGAUUUAUUGCUUACCACCCCAUCAUAUGACACGCUCUCAGUUACUGGCAUAAUAAGACUUAUCUGACUGACACCACUGAAUUAAUUGCUCUCUGUUGCUGAGCGAGGUGAAGACCUGAAGUACAACAGAACACUUUGAAAGCAUCAAAUGCCAGGUGAAUGUCAUCAAGUUCAGAAUGAUCCCUGUGCUCCAGCAUGGAUUUGAAUACAAAAUCCUUUUAGACUUGUGGCUCAGCAAUUUCCACAACAGCUCUUUGAAACCAUGUAUACCAAGACCAUAUGAAACAAAGAGGAAUACAUUAUGGUGGAAAAGAUGAGGGAAAAUAAAUAGGAGAAUGGGAAAUCAGAAUGAAUUGAUGAGAAAGAGAAGACACAAUGGUCCCAAAUUAUUUCACACUGCCAGCUGGAUCUACAUGACUCUUCAAAGGGAUAAAAUACAGAGCCGCCUUCCCUACAGUGGAUCAGAAGAAGCAAGCACAGAACUGUGGGUAGAGAACAGUAGACUCCAGUAUAUCCCAAAGUGUUUAGUAGAGUGAACCCCACUGAUUUGCAUGUCUAGCUAAUCUGUAUUGUUCUGGGGAAGGUUGCAGGAGACAAUGCCAAGGAACUGUGGGAAACUAGAUCCCGUCCCAAUCUCAUAAGCAUGAAUAAUCAGAGUAGCUGCUAAUGAUUGUGUUUGACAGGAGGGAGAAACUAGGCAAGGGCAGGAGAACUAGUGACUCCAGGCCUUAACAGUAAAAUUAAUUUAAUAUUGCAGAUAACUGAAUCUGUGAUAAAGGAAACAAGGCCUUCACUCACAUAA
Molecule: long non-coding RNA, 1162 nt
Filed under: Chrysemys picta bellii (western painted turtle)
Lineage: Eukaryota; Metazoa; Chordata; Testudines; Emydidae
Description: lncRNA (ENSCPBG00000011499.1)
Source: RNAcentral